RNAcentral lists this long non-coding RNA (1673 nucleotides) under Medicago truncatula (barrel medic). Its description in RNAcentral is "long non-coding RNA (MTRU_LNC006569)". Lineage: Eukaryota; Viridiplantae; Streptophyta; Magnoliopsida; Fabales; Fabaceae. The record is from RNAcentral.
UUCAAACAAUGUUUCUGCUGUUUUCGGUGUUAAAUCCAACUCCAUUUUUUCUGUUAGUCCCAUAAUAAUUAAUAGUUACGUAAGAAACAAACCAAUAAAUAAUCUAUACACUUAAAGAUCCAAUUCAAAUCCAUCAAACCCAAACUCACACUGUAAAAAAUGAAAUAUACUCAGAAAAGACAAGUGCAUACCAGUGAUUAUUAGGAGACAAAAAUGUUGAAGAGACUUUCUAUAACUCCUCCCUUUUUUUGAGUGAUUAUUAUAAAAGCAGGUCACGCUGAGGAAUAAAAGGGAGCUAUUUAUUGAGUUUAGGAUGUCAUAGUUUUUGUAAACAAAAAAUAAAAUAAAAAGAUAGCAUGGUCAUAACUAGAUUUACGUAACUAGAUUGCCACUGUUUAAAAAGUAGGCAAAUGUACCCAAAUUAUAUGGUGCCGUGGUGUGUAAUACUUGUCUCCGUAUAUGAUUAUAUGUUUCUUUUAGGAGUUUAGAGGCGACUUUAAGAAGCAGAAGAUUUUGAAUGAUUUGAUGAUUUUAAGGUGAAAAUGUCACGGUAUUACAAAGUCAUGAGGACUUUCCCACCUUAAAAACUAAAUAUUAAUGAGGCAGACUAUAAAGUCAGAUGCUGUUUAAUUUGGAAAAGUAAAUUUUUUUUUCACCAUGAAAAAGUUAAUUUUUAAUAAUUAGAUUAAAUAGGGUACACAAUUUUAUCAUGAUCUCUCAACAUCAAAUUUUUUCCACAUCAUCUUCCACCACCACCCUUCUCCCCUAAAAGUUAAUAAUCUACUAAAAAUACCAAUAUAUUUUAAAAAAAAAAAUCAAACAAAAGUACAUUUGCUUGUUUAUCAUUACAAAAUCCGCAUAAUCAAAAAAUUAUAGAAAUAAUAAAUGAAUUAAUCCUAAGUAAUUUCUUAUUUGUACAACAACAGUGGAAGAGUAACUAAGCUAUUUCAAUUGCAAUGUUCUUCAAACAAGGGUUGAGCAAGAUAAUGUAGAAGGAUCAUACAAAGCAGGAAGAAGAUACUUCCUUCCAUUAUCACCAUGAGCAUUGAAACUAGCACCAGUAGUAGAACCAACAAGCAAAUCACCAGCAUAACCAGGGUAAGCACCUUUACCAUAAACAUCAGGACAAGUUGAAGCAGCUUCAAGAGGUGCUUUAGAAGGACCUUAAAAAUAUCCAUUUCCAAAAGGGUUUGUUGCAGUUCCAACUAAAGGAGAGAUCUAGGUGUUAAACAUGGUGGUGGUGGUGGUUAUGAUGGUCUUGUACGGAGAGAAAGGAGAGAGGAGCAUGUAGAGAGAAAGUGAGAAAUGGUUGAUGAUUGUGUGGUUGAAGAGAGAGGGAGAAAAAUCUAGUAUUAAGGGAGUAUGAUAAAAGUGUAUUCUUUAUUGAAUCUAAUGGUUAAAAUUUACUUUCCCAUGAUGGGAAAAAAGUUUGCUUUCCCAAAUUAAACGGCACCACAAAGUCAUAGGGUUUGUUGCAGUUCCAACUAAAGGAGAGAUCUAGGUGUUAAACAUGGUGGUGGUGGUGGUUAUGAUGGUCUUGUACGGAGAGAAAGGAGAGAGGAGCAUGUAGAGAGAAAGUGAGAAAUGGUUGAUGAUUGUGUGGUUGAAGAGAGAGGGAGAAAAAUCUAGUAUUGAGGGAGUAUGAUAAAAGUGUAUUCUUUAUUGAAUCUAAU